RNAcentral lists this ribosomal RNA (305 nucleotides) under uncultured bacterium. Its description in RNAcentral is "bacterial SSU rRNA". It matches the Rfam family "Bacterial small subunit ribosomal RNA", at positions 333 to 656 of the family's 1533-position model. The record is from RNAcentral.
UUUGACCUAGGGGCGCAGCAGUGGGGGAUAUUGCACAAUGGGGGAAACCCUGAUGCAGCGACGCCGCGUGAGCGAUGAAGUAUUUCGGUAUGUAAAGCUCUAUCAGCAGGGAAGAAAAUGACGGUACCUGACUAAGAAGCCCCGGCUAACUACGUGCCAGCAGCCGCGGUAAUACGUAGGGGGCAAGCGUUAUCCGGAUUUACUGGGUGUAAAGGGAGCGUAGACGGCAGUGCAAGUCUGAAGUGAAAGGCAAGGGCUCAACCCUUGGACUGCUUUGGAAACUGCGCUGCUGGAGUGUCGGAGAG